Long non-coding RNA from Alligator mississippiensis (American alligator), 4867 nucleotides. RefSeq lists it as uncharacterized. The transcript is spliced from 3 exons. Lineage: Eukaryota; Metazoa; Chordata; Crocodylia; Alligatoridae. The record is from RefSeq and is a predicted model, not a curated record.
AAUUACUGGGGAGUCAUCUUAAAUUCAGGGUGGUCUUAUAUUCAGGUAAUAUGGUAAAUUGUCUCUUCUAGCUUCUCUAACCUAGUCUCACCAAAUCAUUCUUUCAUUCUUCCACUCACUACAGCCUCCAUGGAUGAUGUCUUACACAUUUUAGAUGCUGUAAAAUAAUAAGUUCAAGUCUAAAAUGGGAAUAAGAAUGGCAUUUUCUUAGCAGAUCUCCUCCCUCUGGGUAUUCAAAGGCACAUAUAUAUUUACUGCAGUGACAGAGUAAGUUUUUCUUCUUUGUACAUUGCAGAGCUAUAACUUAGCAGUGUGGAGCAGAGUGAGUUCACGUCCAAUCUGGUUUGCAUCAGCAGGCUUGUUAAUUCAGAUUCUCAUUCUUUCUUUAGCUUUUGUCUGAAAUAGUUUACUUCAUUUUAACGUCUUUUUAAUCCAGCCUUGCAGGAUGAAAUUUUUGAUUGACCAUUGGAAAACAGCAACUGGAAAUACGUGCAACUAUACCCAUAUGAAGGCUUUUUAAAAUGAUUUUUAAUUUUUUUUUGAGAUUAGUCAUGUGAACAAGUGCUCGUCAACAUGAGUUAGUGUUGCAGAUUCAGAUCCGAGAAGCAACAUUUCUUUAUACCUCCAUGUUAGUAUCCCUGUGAGAGAUAUUUUUAGUUUCCCAAAUCACAAAAGAAAAUUACUGAUUGGCAAAAAAUGAAGUGUAAGAGAGUAGAUAGAGUAGAAAAUGAACAAAAAACAAGCAAAUGGAUAACGCAACAGUAAUUAAAAUAGGGCUUGAUGGCUCAUUGUUUAUUUCUGAGGCUCUACUGCCACCUGGCAUCUUUUAGGUGCAAUGCACCAUAACAAAACGUGGAUUUCAUCCUGAUUUGUAAGAGUAAUUUUCAUCCAGUAAGUGUGUAUGUGUGUGCGUGCCUUUGCCCUGACAUGAUACAAAAGAGAAAACCACAUCUGGGAUGCUUGCUCUAAUAAGGGCUGGAGCUUGUGAAAUCAGCUACUGUACUUACUGAGCUCUGGGAUAUAACUUGGCAUACAUCUUGGCUGAACAGAAGCACUUGAGCUGAUGCAACACCAUGUCAGUGAACAAGUUCGCGGCAUCGCUCAUCUCCCUGGAGAAUAUCUGUUCAAACUUCCUUGGACACUUUCUUUAAGGAAGCAGACAAGACUCCAGAAAAACCUGCAGCCAAGACUCCUGAGAAGACUCCAGCCAAGAACCCUUCAAAAAGUCCAGCAAAGUCACCUCAAAGAAAUCCUUCCAAAUCAAUGAUUGAUAUUUACAAUAUAAAUGCUCUUAAUGUAACUGUAUUAUUCAUCUAUAAUUGAUUGAGUACAAAAUUCUGGGCUAUUUUUGGUGAAAAUAGGGUAUCGGGCCUUGGUUCAGGAACCAAUCCCCCAUGUAUAACAUUGUUUCCUAUAGGAAAAACAGUUCCAAGUUCCAGCAUUUCAACUUAUGAUGCAGUUUUCAGGAACCAAUUUUGUCGUAAGUCCGAGGACUGCUUGUACUGACUAUCAUUGUGAUCACUGUAGCUUCCACAUUAAACGAAGUAUAGCACAAUACUUUCCUUUUGCUGAUGAAAGAAUAACACUUGCAUAGAACUUUCAUUUGAAGCAUUCAUGUGCAUUACAAUAGGGAAGGAAGUAGGAAGUAAUAUCAGUCUAACUGUAUAGAUGAGUGGGAGCAGAAAUAUAGAUAUAAUUAAUUGUCUGGUAGUGCUGUGUCCAGGGAUCUUCUGAAAAGCCUAUAUGAUUUUCAAAGCUUGUCUAUUCAUAUGUGUGGUGCAGUUUUAAUGGUGCUGGUACAGUGAGAGGGGUACAACUCCACUGCUCUGGGUGAAAUUUGGAUCAGCAUCACAUAUUUGGAUCAGCAUCACAAAUUUGGAUCAGCAUCACAUAUUUACUGUGGGAAGGGAAGUAAGUUGUACCAGCAUGAGGUAUCCUGAAAGGGGUAUCCCAAUCGGAGGAUGUACAAGUAUAACUGCUUUGGUACAGAAAUCACACACCUCCGUGAUACAGUUGUACAGAAGAAAUGUCCAAGCCAUUUUUAGUCCCUUGGCACAUGUUCAUUUAAUAGUGCAUUGGGAUCUGAUCCCCAAUUCCAACAAGUGUGCCUUCUACUAUCUUAUACAUGCAUGGUAACAGGUGUGAUGGUAAAAUCAAGGAUCAAAUCCCAAUCAUGCCAUUACUAUUUGCCAGAGCAGGAGGAGCCCAGGUUACCCCUGCAUUGGUGACUUGAAAGAGGAGUGCCCACAACUCCAGUCCAGUCAACAAUCAACUGAUGGUCAGCUGGCCCCCAGGAUUUUACCACUGGACUCAAACCAACUUCACUGUAUUUUGAGGCCAGGCUGACCAUCAGCUGAUAGUUGGCCCUGGCUGGAACAGCCCCAGGUCUGGCUGGAGACCAGAGUUGUCCAGAUUUAGACUGGACAUUAGGAAGAACUUCUUCACAGUUCGAGUGGCCAAGGUCUGGAACGGGCUCCCAAGGGAGGUGGUGCUCUCCCCUACCCUGGGGGUCUUCAAGAGGAGGUUAGAUAGGCAUCUAGCUGGGGUCAUCUAGACCCAGCACUCUUUCCUGCCUAUGCAGGGGGUCGAACUCGAUGAUCUAUUGAGGUCCCUUCCGAUCCUAACAUCUGUGAAUCUAUGAAUCUAGCCAGGCUGACAAACACACAGUUGUCAAAACCCUGUGCCCUGCAGGUCUGGCCAGGGUGUUUGGAUUGGGGAAUCAAACGCUUCUGGCAAGGUAGGGGUGGGGAGGAGCCAAAGAGCUUCCCCCACUGGGGACAUUAAACCCAGUUGGGAUCCUCUGAUCCCCCUUGCUGGGCAGCCUGGCCAGAGCUGCUGGGGAUGAGGUUUAAAAUUAAAAAAUGGCAGGGAAGCUCAGGGUAGCUGCCUCAGCAAUUUUCUUUAAAGCUCCCUGUGUACUGAGACCCACAGUACAAGGAACCGGUAGCUGGGGGUUAGGAGCUCCAGCCGCCCCAGAUACCCAUGCCCCAAAUUGCAACUGGGGAGUAAAGCUUCCACCUCUACAGCUGCUACUUCCAUGCGUGUUCCAGGAACUUAAAGAAGUGGGAGGCUGGAGGUCUGGGGUGCUUUGUAAAGGUCUAAAGCCCAGUGAACCUGAGACUGGGGAGACUCUCCCUAAUAUCAGCCUCAUGGCACCUGCCACCAGGGAUUGGAGUGGGGAGGUUUGCUUUGAAUGUGAACCACCUCCCAUACAACAGGGUAAAUAAAUCUGGGGGAGGGGGUCAGGUAGCUCUAUUUACCUCUCCCCCCUGCAACAUCUUCCCCCCUUCAGCCCCUUUCCCCCUUCUUACUUGUCAGAUUCUGCUUUCCCUGAGCACACGGAAGCAAGGGGCAAAUCUGGAAACACUGACCUUGAAAGAAACAUACCUGUAGUAAUUUGCAUAUAGUACUCAUAGACUUAAUUCAUCCAGUAUUGAUGCAUUUUAUCUUUUUCUGAAAAUUGCUGCAAAUUUUAGUACAGGUACUCCGUAAAUACACUUUCAAGCAACACUUUUGUACCUAUUUAUAUAUAGUAGAAACCUUUUUUAUUUUUUUGCAAAUAUAUACCUCUACAGACCUGUCUCAUGACUGAUAUGGUUUACUUGACAGUCCACAAACCAUAUCUACAGUUACACUAUCAUCAUCCCCAUUAUAAUAACUCUACCAUGCUCCUGCAUGCCCUCAUGCCCACUGCCAUUUCAAACAAUUACAAUCACAGGAAACCACCUCCAUUACUUCUACUCUCCUUUCCCCCUCCUACCCCUACUCCCCCACAAUCCCUCUGUUUUCCUCCCCAAACCUUAGUCCACAUCAUCUUUAUCAUCCUCUUCCUCCCCAUUGUGCUUGUGGCUUACACCUUUUUUGUUACUAUCAUUGUCUUCUUCCUUGUUGUUGUUGUUUUCUCUGGGCGUUUUGUUUCUGAACAUUCUGUGGCAGUCUUAUCUUUUCCAUGCAUCCUCUGCUUGCUUCUCCUUGUUGUCUUCAUUUGUCUUCCCGUAGUAUACCUGCAACUCACUCAUUCCCAUUCUGAUGCAGUCCUUGAUUGGGAAGUUUGUAUGUCUGUACAUGAGCAAGUUCCUGGUCUUCCAUAGGUACGGACUUACUGUAUUUGAGGUGGCUGCCCACUGAUUUUGCAGUUUGAGUACAGGGCCUGGUGCCACUUUCACAGUCAGAGUGCAGCAGGUCCUUCCAUGCCUCUGAUUGGCUGAGGAGCCCUGGAAGUCUUGUCCCUCCCCACAGAUUGCCAGAUGGCCCCAAACCAGGGCUUGCUUAUAAUGUAUUAAUGAAUGGCUUCCAGGGACUUAAUCCCCUCAUUAAGCCUGUGGAAGCCAUUAAUUGAUGUGUUACUAAGCAGUCUAAACUGCAGUUUAGAGGAUUAAGGGGAUUAAGCCCGUGGAAGCUGUUAAUUGAUGGAUUAUUAAGCAGUCUAAAAUGUGGUUAAUGGCUUCCAUGGGCUUGAUCAAGACCGUGAAAACCAUUAAGCACAGCUUAGAUUGCCUAAAAAUAAUGCAUUAAUUAAUGACUUUCAUGGCCUUACUCCCUUGAUUAAGCCCAUGGAAGCUAUUAAUUGAUGCAUUGUUAUUAAGCAGUCUAAGCACCUAAUUAAGCUCUAAAAUGAAAUAUUUUAUUAAAAUAAAGCAAUGGAUACCAUGAAUUAUAACAAAUACCAACUAUAUAUACUUUAUUAACUGAUACCAGCUACAUAUACUUGAUUAAUACCAACUAUAUACACUAGAUUAAAUAAUACCAUCUAAGCACUUAUUUAAAGUCUAAACUGAAAUAGCUUAUGAAAAUAAAGCUAUAUUAUGUACACCAUGAAUUGUAACUAAUACUAACAAUAUACACUUUAAUAAAGGAUAUUAUAAAA